UGGGGAAUUUUGGACAAUGGGCGAAAGCCUGAUCCAGCAAUGCCGCGUGUGUGAAGAAGGCCUUCGGGUUGUAAAGCACUUUUGUCUGGAAAGAAAUCCUUGGCUCUAAUACAGUCGGGGGAUGACGGUACCGGAAGAAUAAGCACCGGCUAACUACGUGCCAGCAGCCGCGGUAAUACGUAGGGUGCAAGCGUUAAUCGGAAUUACUGGGCGUAAAGCGUGCGCAGGCGGUUUGCUAAGACCGAUGUGAAAUCCCCGGGCUCAACCUGGGAACUGCAUGGUGACUGGCAGGCUAGAGUAUGGCAAGGGGGGUAGAAUUCCACGUGUAGCAGUGAAAUGCGUAGAGAUGUGGAGGAAUACCGAUGGCGAAGGCAGCCCCCUGGGCCAAUACUGACGCUCAUGCACGAAAGCGUGGGGAGCAAACAGGAUUAGAUACCCUGGUAGUCCACGCCCUAAACGAUGUCAACUAGUUGUUGGGAUUCAUUUUCCUUAGUAACGUAGCUAACGCGUGAAGUUGACCGCCUGGGGAGUACGGUCGCAAGAUUAAAAAGC
This 552-nucleotide ribosomal RNA is filed under the name uncultured bacterium. RNAcentral's name for it is "partial 16S ribosomal RNA". It matches the Rfam family "Bacterial small subunit ribosomal RNA", at positions 355 to 900 of the family's 1533-position model. The record is from RNAcentral.